UUUCUUUGGGUACUACUGUUUGUGUAACUGCUAGCAUUGCCCGGUUUAGAUAAUUUAAUGCCCCUAAUGAUUUUAGUGGGUCAGUCUUGUUAUGUCAUAUAUAUUUAUUUUGUGCGAUUUUUUCUGUGAGAAGCUUCAGAAUGCUAGCAAGUCGCUGCUCAUGGCAUAAGUUAUCACAUUGGACUAUGUCUCCUUCAGCAUGCCAAGCAGGAUUCUGCAGUCAGUAUAUUGGAAACAACUGCACUCAUUAAAACAAGGAUCCUAAACUCAAGUUGAUUAGCCUCUCUACUUGCCACUCGUUUAUAGAUAUGGAUUGAAUGCCAGAUGUGCAACUGAAGGCCAGACGCAGACUCUUACAAGGGAAAAUUCAACCAUUACAGUUGCACCAGGGAAGGUAAAAUCUCCUGAUCUAGACGAUGGUGGGGCUGGAUUUAUCCCUCGUGAUGAUGGCGGCGGCAUGGGUGGGUGUGGAG
Non-coding RNA from Nicotiana tabacum (common tobacco), 473 nucleotides. NCBI's taxonomy places the organism in Eukaryota, Viridiplantae, Streptophyta, Magnoliopsida, Solanales, Solanaceae. The record is from RefSeq and is a predicted model, not a curated record.